RNAcentral lists this small RNA (193 nucleotides) under Nocardioides sp. RNAcentral describes it as "c-di-AMP sequence". It matches the Rfam family "c-di-AMP riboswitch aptamer (ydaO/yuaA leader)", at positions 11 to 127 of the family's 134-position model. From Rfam's summary of the family: This family represents a conserved RNA structure found upstream of the ydaO and yuaA genes in Bacillus subtilis and related genes in other bacteria. The ydaO/yuaA element is thought to act as a genetic "off" switch for the ydaO and yuaA genes in its native state. The record is from RNAcentral. Lineage: Bacteria; Bacillati; Actinomycetota; Actinomycetes; Propionibacteriales; Nocardioidaceae.
GCCCGGGCUACGCCGAGUCCUGCCCGUCCGGAGCGGCCCCCCGAGAAGAUCGAGGGCAGGAGUGGGGGACCCACAGGUUCCACGCCGGCCCGUGCUGCGGCACGAGUCGGCUCGGGGUGAAGCCACCACCUGGUGGCGGGGCACCUUCCAGCCCUAACCCGACAGCUCACCUCACAGGCGUGGGAAAGGACCA